RNAcentral lists this ribosomal RNA (164 nucleotides) under uncultured bacterium. RNAcentral describes it as "partial 16S rRNA". It matches the Rfam family "Bacterial small subunit ribosomal RNA", at positions 354 to 511 of the family's 1533-position model. The record is from RNAcentral.
UUAGGGAAUCUUCGGCAAUGGACGAAAGUCUGACCGAGCAACGCCGCGUGAGUGAAGAAGGUUUUCGGAUCGUAAACUCUGUUGUUAGAGAAGAACAAGGGUGAGAGUAACUGUUCACCCCUUGACGGUAUCUAACCAGAAAGCCACGGCUAACUACGUGCCAG